Molecule: small nucleolar RNA, 141 nt
Organism: Parambassis ranga (Indian glassy fish)
Lineage: Eukaryota; Metazoa; Chordata; Actinopteri; Ambassidae
Product: small nucleolar RNA, C/D box 10
Source: Ensembl
GUAUAAUGAUGAAGCACAUGCGUGUCAACUGACUCUGUAGCACCCUGUUGUGUGGUGGCACUGGUUGGCGUUUUGCUGACUUGUGUCUUCUAGACAAAAGGGGCUCAGGGACAUGAUCACACCUAUACAACUUCUGAAUGC